CGAACGCUGGCGGCAUGCCUAACACAUGCAAGUCGAACGAGACCUCCGGGUCUAGUGGCGCACGGGUGCGUAACGCGUGGAUAUCUGCCUUUUGGUUCGGAAUAACUCCGGGGAAACUGGAGCUAAAUACCGGAUGGUUCCUACGGGAUAAAGAUUUAUCGCCAAAAGAUGGAGUCCGCGUACGAUUAGCUAGUUGGUGAGGUAAUGGCUCACCAAGGCGACGAUCGUUAGGCUGGUCUGAGAGGACGAUCAGCCACACUGGGACUGAGACACGGCCCAGACUCCUACGGGAGGCAGCAGUGGGGAAUAUUGGACAAUGGGGCAACCCUGGAUCCAGCCAUGCCGCGUGAGU
This 352-nucleotide ribosomal RNA is filed under the name uncultured bacterium. Its description in RNAcentral is "bacterial SSU rRNA". It matches the Rfam family "Bacterial small subunit ribosomal RNA", at positions 30 to 406 of the family's 1533-position model. The record is from RNAcentral.